Rana temporaria (common frog) is the source of this 2891-nucleotide long non-coding RNA. RefSeq lists it as uncharacterized. NCBI's taxonomy places the organism in Eukaryota, Metazoa, Chordata, Amphibia, Anura, Ranidae. The record is from RefSeq and is a predicted model, not a curated record. The transcript has 2 exons.
CCCCCCCCCCAGAACCCUUCCCUACUUUGGGAGUUCUCAGUUUUGUAGCAAGCAAUGCAGAGUAACACAGUAGUAGAGGGGAGGGUGUCCUGUGUCAUAGAGUUUACAGGUAGGUCAAAAUUUCUAUUAUCUUAAUUGUACGUUACAGGACACAAGCUAAGUAUUCAUAGACGCUGGGAACUAUAAAAGCAUCCAAUGAGGAUCCUUUGUCUUGGCCAAAAAUAGAGGUAACUUGUUGAAGAAAUCGGAAGCCAGAAUAUACACACAUUGGGUACCCCAUCUCUGACAUAUCAGACUCAAGAUGUCAGGGUGAAGGGGCAGGCAGUGAACUUCCUUCAAGGUGAUUGAGGUAGGCCACAGUUGCAGUAUUGUCUUAUUGCACCCUGAUUGGAUGCCCUUGAAGAAGGGGGGUCCAGCAGUACAGAUCCGACCUUAUCACCCUGAGCUCCAGGGUGUUGAUGGGGAGAUGGACUUCCUCUGGUGACCAGGAACCCUGAUCUGUGAGGGAUUGAAACACUUUUCCCCACCCUGAAAGACUGGCAUCUGUCGGUAUUACCUUUCAGUGUUAUGACAGAAAUUAAUUUACAAUUGUCAAGGGUGGGUUGGCAAUACACCAAGCUUGGCAAUUCCUUGCUUGACUGAAUAUGGAGUAUGCGUGGAUAGAAGAAAGAGGAGCAUGCUUGUUCCAUGCCAACCAGCUGUUGUAUUGGGGAGCUAUUAAGGAAAUUAGGUGAAAUGGGACAGCCUUGAAGAAGGCUAUUAUGUGACCCACAACUCUCAUGGAGAAUCUUACAGGGGAUGCCUCUUUGAUCCCUGGCCCCAAGUAUGGGUUUUGAGAGAGAGAAGUUAUUUCUCUGAAAGAAAGAUUUUUGCUUGAGCUGUGUCUAGAAUAAUGCCCAAGUAUUCCAGGCAAAGAGAAGGUCGGAGUGCAGAUUUUUGGAAGCUGAUCACCCAAUUAAUGAACACUGUGAACAUUUGCAGAUAGAUGGAAGAGAGAUGAGUCCUUCAGAAGAAGGUAAUCUAGAUAACCUGUAACUUGGAUGCCGAGUACUUAAAAAGGCAAGAAGAGGUGCAAGGAAUGGCCAAGUAGCAGUUUGACAAACUGGAAGUGAAUAUCUCCUACUGCAAAGUCACAGGCUCUCUGUUCUACCCUUACAGGCUCAGCGGAUUGCUGAGAGCCUGAGCCAGAUGCCGGUAUAGGCAUCUGGGUGAAUUCCAUCCAUAUGGUCAGGAUCUUUCCUGAGCCUGGACCAGCUGAGUGACAUUAGCCGUCAGCGUGCUUUAGCGUGUCACAGGAGUGCCGAACAAACUGCUUGAUCCAUAGGAGAUCCAUAAGAGGAGUACAGCCAAAAAAGCUUUGGCCAUACUUCUCCUUUUAAUUGUUACAUGGUGUGGAAAUGUGGACUGCCUAUUUCACAGUUGUCUAAGAGGAGCCCCAACGUGCUUAUCACCACUGUCAUCUACUUGAGGCUCCUCUAGAAUUGUAUACCCAGCAGACUUUUGUGGUCCACAUUGGGUGUCAACCCAAGAGAAUUUUGAUAACCCCAAAGGGAUGCUGGUUGUACAAGCCUCAAGAAGAACACAGUGGUCAUGUGUGCUGUGGGACCCCUCUGAGACAGCUGGGGAAUAGCAGGCCACCUUUCUACCACAUAUGCUGAUUAAACUCAGUGUUUACAGGGAAAUGUAGUUAUGGCAGUUAAUUUAACAUUACAUGUCAGUGGCAUCAACUUCACAGAAGUUUCCCUCUACAGGUUGCCAACCUUUGAACUGCACACAUGGAAAAUGUAGUCAGGCCAUGGCAGUACAACAGAGAUCCAGGAUUCUUUACAUGCAGAGGCUGCAAAAAAAGCUGUUCCCUGCGUUUAACUUUCUGGAGCAAUAUCUCAUCUCUAACAACAAUAAAUAAGUACACUGUGAUUUCAUGCCUGACUUGUUAAUAAUGGCUUCAUCCCACAACACAGAAGAUGAUUUCCUGCCUGGGAGAGAAUAAGAGACAUUACAUUCAAGUUAUACAAUACAAUACAUAAAUACAGCCACAGUCCUGAAGUUAAUAAGUUUCAUAUUUAUUGAAACAAAAAAAUAUAUACUAUCAGUGACAAAUAAGAUUUCCAUAUCUUUGUUAUUAUUAUUCCUCAGGUGCUACAGGCAAGUAUGAUGAUGGAGGACACAUAAUAUGUACAGGCUCUAUAGAAACAGACAUAAACUGCAUGAUCUAUUGGUAAAGUACAACAGUGCCAAUAAACAAGUUGGUAAGUUACAAGGCUACAAUAGUUCACAAAAAACAAAAAAAAGAUAUUAAAUAAGUACUCAAUAGGCAGUGUUCAGACAUAUUUGUAAUGGGAGUUACUAAUGCGCUAACCACACCGGGUAUAAAUACACGACUAAAAUUAUAAAUAUACACAAGCAGCAGCCAUAGCAAAAUAAGUGUUCACACGCUAAAAACAGUUUGUUAAAGAAACAAGCUAUAUACAAUCCCAAUGCAGUUUAAAAAGAAAUAAAAGUCCUGCUGUGUCCAAAUACUCACUAUUUCAGGGGUCCACAUGGCGCUUUGGCUCCUUUCACAUUAGUGGCGGUAUUUCCCACUACCCUGAAAAGCGAUCAACUGUGGAUGGUGAAAGUUUUUUUAGGCAUUAAGGAGGUGAUGCUGCCACCUUCUGAUGCCUGUUAUUUUUUUGCCUUUUUUUUUAUUUUUUUUAUGGAAUGUCAAUUUAGCAUUAGCUGGGGGUUGCAGCAUGGCCCCAUUCACUUACAUGGGGUGGUCAAAGCAUGGUAAAAACAAAAAUCAAUCACCUUUUUUACAUCAUUCACUGGCUGUGUGAAAGGAAAAUGUAAAACAAUUUAAACCUGCAGCAUGUCUGUGUUGCUCUCCCAUCCUGUGCACCUCAUGAAAA